This 253-nucleotide ribosomal RNA is filed under the name uncultured bacterium. Its description in RNAcentral is "partial 16S ribosomal RNA". It matches the Rfam family "Bacterial small subunit ribosomal RNA", at positions 524 to 776 of the family's 1533-position model. The record is from RNAcentral.
UACAGAGGUCCCGAGCGUUGUUCGGAUUCACUGGGCGUAAAGGGUGCGUAGGUGGCAUGGUAAGUUUGAUGUGAAAGCUCGGGGCUUAACCCUGAAAUGGCAUUGAAUACUACUGUGCUGGAGGUUUGGAGGGGGGACUGGAAUUCUUGGUGUAGCAGUGAAAUGCGUAGAUAUCAAGAGGAACACCGGUGGCGAAGGCGAGUCCCUGGACAACACCUGACACUGAGGCACGAAAGCUAGGGGAGCAAACAGG